This 2900-nucleotide ribosomal RNA is filed under the name Shigella flexneri. Its description in RNAcentral is "23S ribosomal RNA". It matches the Rfam family "Bacterial large subunit ribosomal RNA". The record is from RNAcentral. Lineage: Bacteria; Pseudomonadati; Pseudomonadota; Gammaproteobacteria; Enterobacterales; Enterobacteriaceae.
GGUUAAGCGACUAAGCGUACACGGUGGAUGCCCUGGCAGUCAGAGGCGAUGAAGGACGUGCUAAUCUGCGAUAAGCGUCGGUAAGGUGAUAUGAACCGUUAUAACCGGCGAUUUCCGAAUGGGGAAACCCAGUGUGAUUCGUCACACUAUCAUUAACUGAAUCCAUAGGUUAAUGAGGCGAACCGGGGGAACUGAAACAUCUAAGUACCCCGAGGAAAAGAAAUCAACCGAGAUUCCCCCAGUAGCGGCGAGCGAACGGGGAGCAGCCCAGAGCCUGAAUCAGUGUGUGUGUUAGUGGAAGCGUCUGGAAAGGCGUGCGAUACAGGGUGACAGCCCCGUACACAAAAAUGCACAUACUGUGAGCUCGAUGAGUAGGGCGGGACACGUGGUAUCCUGUCUGAAUAUGGGGGGACCAUCCUCCAAGGCUAAAUACUCCUGACUGACCGAUAGUGAACCAGUACCGUGAGGGAAAGGCGAAAAGAACCCCGGCGAGGGGAGUGAAAAAGAACCUGAAACCGUGUACGUACAAGCAGUGGGAGCACGCUUAGGCGUGUGACUGCGUACCUUUGUAUAAUGGGUCAGCGACUUAUAUUCUGUAGCAAGGUUAACCGAAUAGGGGAGCCGAAGGGAAACCGAGUCUUAACUGGGCGUUAAGUUGCAGGGUAUAGACCCGAAACCCGGUGAUCUAGCCAUGGGCAGGUUGAAGGUUGGGUAACACUAACUGGAGGACCGAACCGACUAAUGUUGAAAAAUUAGCGGAUGACUUGUGGCUGGGGGUGAAAGGCCAAUCAAACCGGGAGAUAGCUGGUUCUCCCCGAAAGCUAUUUAGGUAGCGCCUCGUGAAUUCAUCUCCGGGGGUAGAGCACUGUUUCGGCAAGGGGGUCAUCCCGACUUACCAACCCGAUGCAAACUGCGAAUACCGGAGAAUGUUAUCACGGGAGACACACGGCGGGUGCUAACGUCCGUCGUGAAGAGGGAAACAACCCAGACCGCCAGCUAAGGUCCCAAAGUCAUGGUUAAGUGGGAAACGAUGUGGGAAGGCCCAGACAGCCAGGAUGUUGGCUUAGAAGCAGCCAUCAUUUAAAGAAAGCGUAAUAGCUCACUGGUCGAGUCGGCCUGCGCGGAAGAUGUAACGGGGCUAAACCAUGCACCGAAGCUGCGGCAGCGACGCUUAUGCGUUGUUGGGUAGGGGAGCGUUCUGUAAGCCUGUGAAGGUGUGCUGUGAGGUAUGCUGGAGGUAUCAGAAGUGCGAAUGCUGACAUAAGUAACGAUAAAGCGGGUGAAAAGCCCGCUCGCCGGAAGACCAAGGGUUCCUGUCCAACGUUAAUCGGGGCAGGGUGAGUCGACCCCUAAGGCGAGGCCGAAAGGCGUAGUCGAUGGGAAACAGGUUAAUAUUCCUGUACUUGGUGUUACUGCGAAGGGGGACGGAGAAGGCUAUGUUGGCCGGGCGACGGUUGUCCCGGUUUAAGCGUGUAGGCUGGUUUUCCAGGCAAAUCCGGAAAAUCAAGGCCGAGGCGUGAUGACGAGGCACUACGGUGCUGAAGCAACAAAUGCCCUGCUUCCAGGAAAGCCUCUAAGCAUCAGGUAACAUCAAAUCGUACCCCAAACCGACACAGGUGGUCAGGUAGAGAAUACCAAGGCGCUUGAGAGAACUCGGGUGAAGGAACUAGGCAAAAUGGUGCCGUAACUUCGGGAGAAGGCACGCUGAUACGUAGGUGAAGCGACUUGCUCGUGGAGCUGAAAUCAGUCGAAGAUACCAGCUGGCUGCAACUGUUUAUUAAAAACACAGCACUGUGCAAACACGAAAGUGGACGUAUACGGUGUGACGCCUGCCCGGUGCCGGAAGGUUAAUUGAUGGGGUUAGCGCAAGCGAAGCUCUUGAUCGAAGCCCCGGUAAACGGCGGCCGUAACUAUAACGGUCCUAAGGUAGCGAAAUUCCUUGUCGGGUAAGUUCCGACCUGCACGAAUGGCGUAAUGAUGGCCAGGCUGUCUCCACCCGAGACUCAGUGAAAUUGAACUCGCUGUGAAGAUGCAGUGUACCCGCGGCAAGACGGAAAGACCCCGUGAACCUUUACUAUAGCUUGACACUGAACAUUGAGCCUUGAUGUGUAGGAUAGGUGGGAGGCUUUGAAGUGUGGACGCCAGUCUGCAUGGAGCCGACCUUGAAAUACCACCCUUUAAUGUUUGAUGUUCUAACGUGGACCCGUGAUCCGGGUUGCGGACAGUGUCUGGUGGGUAGUUUGACUGGGGCGGUCUCCUCCUAAAGAGUAACGGAGGAGCACGAAGGUUGGCUAAUCCUGGUCGGACAUCAGGAGGUUAGUGCAAUGGCAUAAGCCAGCUUGACUGCGAGCGUGACGGCGCGAGCAGGUGCGAAAGCAGGUCAUAGUGAUCCGGUGGUUCUGAAUGGAAGGGCCAUCGCUCAACGGAUAAAAGGUACUCCGGGGAUAACAGGCUGAUACCGCCCAAGAGUUCAUAUCGACGGCGGUGUUUGGCACCUCGAUGUCGGCUCAUCACAUCCUGGGGCUGAAGUAGGUCCCAAGGGUAUGGCUGUUCGCCAUUUAAAGUGGUACGCGAGCUGGGUUUAGAACGUCGUGAGACAGUUCGGUCCCUAUCUGCCGUGGGCGCUGGAGAACUGAGGGGGCUGCUCCUAGUACGAGAGGACCGGAGUGGACGCAUCACUGGUGUUCGGGUUGUCAUGCCAAUGGCACUGCCCGGUAGCUAAAUGCGGAAGAGAUAAGUGCUGAAAGCAUCUAAGCACGAAACUUGCCCCGAGAUGAGUUCUCCCUGACCCUUUAAGGGUCCUGAAGGAACGUUGAAGACGACGACGUUGAUAGGCCGGGUGUGUAAGCGCAGCGAUGCGUUGAGCUAACCGGUACUAAUGAACCGUGAGGCUUAACCUU